UACGGAGGGGGCUAGCGUUGUUCGGAAUUACUGGGCGUAAAGCGUACGUAGGCGGCUUUGUAAGUUAGAGGUGAAAGCCCGGGGCUCAACCCCGGAAUUGCCUUUAAGACUGCAUCGCUUGAAUCCGGGAGAGGUGAGUGGAAUUCCGAGUGUAGAGGUGAAAUUCGUAGAUAUUCGGAAGAACACCAGUGGCGAAGGCGGCUCACUGGACCGGUAUUGACGCUGAGGUGCGAAAGCGUGGGUAGCAAACAGG
This 253-nucleotide ribosomal RNA is filed under the name uncultured bacterium. RNAcentral's name for it is "partial 16S ribosomal RNA". It matches the Rfam family "Bacterial small subunit ribosomal RNA", at positions 524 to 776 of the family's 1533-position model. The record is from RNAcentral.